UGAUUGACAUGUGAUUACAAUUCGAUUGAUUUUACUUUUGUGGUGGGUUUUCUUGUCUGGAUCGGAUAGACAUUUCACCAUCACCAUAAUAAUCUGAAAUAUUUGGGGAUUUUCUCUCAAUGUGAAUACAAUAAUGGCUGAUAUUGAGAUUUCGUUAUAUUUGUAAACUAGGUUAAGGUUGGAUCAUCGACUGGGACAGAAGAAAGACCAAAAUGUUUGUAUUACCAUUUUGAUUGAUCCACAUAAAUUGAUGAGACUCCUACUGUGAUUUUUGUUCCCCGAAUUUUACUACUCUUCUACAUUGGAGCAGUAUGCUUCUUGAGGUUGUAAUGGCAUUAGCUAAAGGAAACAUGAAAAUAGUUGGCUUAAGAAUAUUUGGUUUGAUUGGAAAAAUCACAUUCUUUUGCUGAUUGAAGAUUCAUUGCGGCUAGUAGUUAAUUGGGGAUACAGAGUAUUAGUAAGAUUACUAUAUAUUAUAAAUCCUCGAAAAUCAUCUCUAUUUCUUUGUGAUGUAGUAGGGGUAAGGUCUAUGUACACUCUAGCCAAUCUAGACCUCACUUGUGGGAUUACACUGGGUGUUGGUGAAUUGCUUGCAUUUUGGGAAAAUUUACUUUCUACAUCUCAUGGAAGCUGUAUUUGAAGAGGAGUAUGCUGCCUUUGAGAAUAAAGUGAAAUGAAGCGUCUAUAUUGGCGAUCUUUCACCUUUUGUUAUGGAAUCUGUUAUCAAAGUUGCACUUGAUCACUUUGGAAAUGUGAUUCAGGUCACGUUAAUCCGAACCUACCUUGGACUGAAAGGGAUGGGACGAGCUGCUUUAGCUGUAAUGCAGAAUGUAGAUGAGGCAAGAACAAUCAUAUAUGAGAUAUGAAAUUCUCCUUUCAUGAUCUCGGGCAUGCCAAGACCUGUUAGCGUUCAUCCUGCUGUAAUUGAGAUGUUUGAUAAUCACCCAAAGAAACAUGAUAGGACGAUAAUGUGCUACUGGUGAAAUCCAAUGAUCCUGAUUUUGAAGUGGCCACGAAGAUGAAACGUACAGUUAGGAACCAUGCAAAAGAAGCCAAUUUUUCGCUCAAACCUCAAUUGGAGGAGGAAGAACAACUAGCCGAAGAGCAGUCAGAGUCCUUGAACGCAAUCUACAAUAAGUAUGAACUCGUACAACAUGUGUUUAAC
This is a long non-coding RNA of Solanum pennellii, 1165 nucleotides long. RefSeq lists it as uncharacterized. The record is from RefSeq and is a predicted model, not a curated record. NCBI's taxonomy places the organism in Eukaryota, Viridiplantae, Streptophyta, Magnoliopsida, Solanales, Solanaceae. The transcript is spliced from 3 exons.